RNAcentral lists this ribosomal RNA (516 nucleotides) under uncultured bacterium. Its description in RNAcentral is "partial 16S ribosomal RNA". It matches the Rfam family "Bacterial small subunit ribosomal RNA", at positions 28 to 523 of the family's 1533-position model. The record is from RNAcentral.
GACGAACGCUGGCGGCGUGCCUAAUACAUGCAAGUCGAGCGGACUUGAUGAAGUGCUUACACUUCUGAUGGUUAGCGGCGGACGGGUGAGUAACACGUAGGUAACCUGCCUAUAAGACUGGGAUAACAUUCGGAAACGAAUGCUAAUACCGGAUACGCGAAUUGGUCGCAUGGCCGAAUCGGGAAAGACGGAGCAAUCUGUCGCUUAUAGAUGGACCUGCGGCGCAUUAGCUAGUUGGUGAGGUAACGGCUCACCAAGGCGACGAUGCGUAGCCGACCUGAGAGGGUGAUCGGCCACACUGGGACUGAGACACGGCCCAGACUCCUACGGGAGGCAGCAGUAGGGAAUCUUCCGCAAUGGACGAAGGUCUGACGGAGCAACGCCGCGUGAGUGAUGAAGGUUUUCGGAUCGUAAAGCUCUGUUGCCAGGGAAGAACGCUUGGGAGAGUAACUGCUCUCAAGGUGACGGUACCUGAGAAGAAAGCCCCGGCUAACUACGUGCCAGCCGCCGCGGUAA